RNAcentral lists this long non-coding RNA (1686 nucleotides) under Marmota monax (woodchuck). Lineage: Eukaryota; Metazoa; Chordata; Mammalia; Rodentia; Sciuridae. The record is from RNAcentral.
CUGCCCCGCCACCAGGCGCCACCCAACCCGGGCUCCACCUGCGGGUGGGCGGGGCUUCGCGAGGCCACGCCCCCUCCCCAGCCGCGCGCCAAACCCAGGUGAGCCCCUGGGCAGGCGGGGGGCCUGGGGCCAGGCCGGGAGGGGACAUUCCUUACCCCUGAGAUCAGGCUGCAGAGGCUGGUGGCUCCUGCCGCUGUCGCCUGCCAGGGUCCUGCCCAGGAGCACCCCGUCUCCCAGCUGCUUUGGCAGAGAUCGGGAGGCCGAGGCAGGAGGAUCGCAAGGUGGAGGCCAGCCUCAGCCACUCAGCAAGGACCUGAACCACUCAGCGAGACCCUGUCGCUAAAUAAAGUCUAAAAAGGGCUGGGGACGGGGCUCAGGGGUUCAGCACCCCUGGGUUCCAUUCUUGGUACCAAAAAAACAAAACAAAAAAGUGGGGUGAGAAAUGUCCCUUAUGCCCACAGAGUCACGUGCCGCCCUCUCCCACCCCUGGGGACAGACGAGCGGAGGGACCCACGGGCGCUGCUGCUUCCGCUGUGUGAUGGGUGGCUAUUUGUCACACUCACAGCCUCUAGAAGCUUCGGUCCAGCGACCAACCUUGAAGAAUGUCUCUUUAAAAAGGAACAGAUAGGAUGAGUGGGCAGAAAGAGCCAGGAGGCCACGCUCGUGUUUGUCACGGUGACAUCUGAAAGUUCUCCCCCCCCAAAGCCUCGUUUGGCAAGAGGACCCGAGUUCCACCCCGUCCCCGACUCCGUUGGGUGCAGGCUGUGUGACCUUGGGCCACUGAUCUAACCUCUCUGAACCUCUUCCCCUUUUGAUGUUGCUGUAAAUCAAACCUAGGACUCCCUGGGGGCUGGGCGGCUCGGGUCCCUCUGUGGGGCUGUGUGUGAGUCCCAGGUUGGUCACAGGGGAGACCCGGACUCCUCCUGAGGGCCCUGGGCCAAGAUGGGGGUGACCCCUCCACACACCCCGCAGGGAGGCGCCUGAGGCCGGAUCCAGUUUCUGGUGGGACUGGUUCUCCUGGGCAGCCCUUGAUGAAUGGCCCAGAUAAGGACCCUGCAGGUCGCCUGGGCCAGGCAGGGGACCCACACCGGGAAAGGUCCCCAGUCUGGCUCAGAGGGGGUGACCGGGGUCUGUCCUUCCUGCUGCUGUCACUAGUUUUAUUUUUGGGGGGUGGGGGACACCCAGAUGCUCUUUCUCAACCUGUCCCCUGCCUGCAGGGAGGUGCCCCGGGAUGGGGUUCACGAUUCCACCGCGUUCAGAGGUCUCUGCUUCAGAUCAACCUUCUAGAAACUUCCAGGACCUGGCUGGCUCCGUCCCCAGGGCCAGGGCUGACCCCCUCCUGUGUCCUCUGCAGGGAGGUGGCCCUGGGUGAUGUCCCCUGCCAUCGCUGUUUCCUGAGAAUGGCUCCUUUUCAUUUCUGUGCUUGGGACAAGGAGUCCCAGGUCAGAGGCCAGGACCUAGUGGCCUUGGGACUCACACUCAGGGGGUCCCUAACCAGAGGGGGCUGCUUGAUCCUCUGGGCCCCAGGACAGUCCCACCAGAGCCUCAGCUCAAGGCCUCAAGAAUGGCUUUCAGACUGGGCGUGGUGGCCCCCCCGCCUGUCAUCUCAGCAGCUCAGGAGGCUGAGGCAGGAGGAUCGCCAGGUGGAGGCCGGCCUCAGCCACUCAGCGAGACCCUGUCUCUAAA